This 445-nucleotide ribosomal RNA is filed under the name uncultured bacterium. Its description in RNAcentral is "bacterial SSU rRNA". It matches the Rfam family "Bacterial small subunit ribosomal RNA", at positions 354 to 796 of the family's 1533-position model. The record is from RNAcentral.
GUGAGGAAUAUUGGUCAAUGGGCGCAAGCCUGAACCAGCCAUGCCGCGUGCAGGAUGACGGUCCUAUGGAUUGUAAACUGCUUUUGUACAGGAAGAAACACUGGUUCGUGAACCAGCUUGACGGUACUGUAAGAAUAAGGAUCGGCUAACUCCGUGCCAGCAGCCGCGGUAAUACGGAGGAUCCAAGCGUUAUCCGGAAUCAUUGGGUUUAAAGGGUCCGUAGGCGGUCAGAUAAGUCAGUGGUGAAAGCCCAUCGCUCAACGGUGGAACGGCCAUUGAUACUGUCUGACUUGAAUUAUUAGGAAGUAACUAGAAUAUGUAGUGUAGCGGUGAAAUGCUUAGAGAUUACAUGGAAUACCAAUUGCGAAGGCAGGUUACUACUAAUGGAUUGACGCUGAUGGACGAAAGCGUGGGUAGCGAACAGGAUUAGAAACCCCGGUAGUCC